AGGAUUAACGCUGGCGGCGUGCAUGAAACAUGCAAGUCGAGCGCGGCGCGUGGCUUCGGUCACGCGUCUAGCGGCGCACGGGUGAGUAACACGUGAGCAACCUACCUUCGAGUUCGGGAUAGCCCUGGGAAACCAGGAUUAAUACCGGAUGUGGUCACAACGGGACAUCCCGAUGUGAAAAAAGGCGUAAGCCGCUCGAUGACGGGCUCGCGGCCUAUUAGCUUGUUGGUGGGGUAACGGCCUACCAAGGCGACGAUGGGUAGCUGGUCUGAGAGGACGAUCAGCCACACUGGGACUGAGACACGGCCCAGACUCCUACGGGAGGCAGCAGUUAGGAAUUUUCCGCAAUGGGCGAAAGCCUGACGGAGCAACGCCGCGUGUGUGAUGAAGGCCUUCGGGUUGUAAGCACUGUCGGAGGGGAAGAAUGAAUGACGGUACCCUCCAAGAAAGCCCGGCUAACUACGCGCCAGCAGCCGC
Molecule: ribosomal RNA, 477 nt
Filed under: uncultured bacterium
Lineage: Bacteria
Description: SSU rRNA
Rfam family: Bacterial small subunit ribosomal RNA
Source: RNAcentral